GAGUCAGGCAGAGGAGAAGAGGCAGGCAGAACAGGUGAGGGCUUGUCUUUCCAGAGGUUGGGCCUAUCCAUAAAGAUGGAAGCUAAGUUGGAAAGAGCUCCGUUGGAGGAAGGGCAGCUGGGCCAGGCCCUGGAAUGUCCCCAAGAUGCCCUCUCACAUGGCAGUGAAGAAGCAGUGUUGAUCUGUUCUGUUAGUGGAGGUGUCAAAACAGCUGCUGCAGUUCCAGUCCAGUCUCUGGUUUCUUUUGAGGAGGUGGCCGUGUCUUUCA
Molecule: long non-coding RNA, 268 nt
Organism: Sphaerodactylus townsendi
Lineage: Eukaryota; Metazoa; Chordata; Lepidosauria; Squamata; Sphaerodactylidae
Exons: 4
Source: RefSeq, a predicted model, not a curated record